GAUGAACGCUAGCGGCAGGCCUAAUACAUGCAAGUCGGACGGGAUUCAGGAGCUUGCUUCUGAUGAGAGUGGCGCACGGGUGCGUAACACGUAUGUAACCUACCUUUAUCAGGGGGAUAGCCUCUCGAAAGAGAGAUUAAGCCCGCAUAAAAUCGCAGCACAGCAUUGUGUAAUGAUCAAAUAUUUAUAGGAUAAAGAUGGGCAUGCGGAACAUUAGCUAGAUGGCGGGGUAACGGCCCACCAUGGCGACGAUGUUUAGGGGAUCUGAGAGGAUGGCCCCCCACACUGGUACUGAGACACGGACCAGACUCCUACGGGAGGCAGCAGUAAGGAAUAUUGGUCAAUGGGCGGAAGCCUGAACCAGCCAUGCCGCGUGCAGGAAGACGGCCCUACGGGUUGUAAACUGCUUUUAUACGGGAAUAAACCCAGAUACGUGUAUCUGGCUGAAUGCACUGUAAGAAUAAGGAUCGGCUAACUCCGUG
This 482-nucleotide ribosomal RNA is filed under the name uncultured bacterium. RNAcentral describes it as "partial 16S ribosomal RNA". It matches the Rfam family "Bacterial small subunit ribosomal RNA", at positions 28 to 507 of the family's 1533-position model. The record is from RNAcentral.